GAUACUCCACAACCAAAGCAAAGACAGAUCAACUCUUCAAGAUAAACUCACAGGACUCACCACUAUCGCUUUAGGAGAAAGAAAGGCAGGGCCAUAACAUCGUAGUCUCCUAUAACCAUGGACGCCAACUAUCUCAUGUAAACGCUAGAUCUACAAAUCACCAACCUUUCCACAACUUCUCCAAAAGCAACAAGCCAAACACCAAAUAGGGGAAACGAAACCGAGGAAGCAGGAACCACACAACAAAUCAAACCACCUCUUCCUCAAAGCAGAUCCUCUUUCAAACCAUCCUCACCAGUCAGAACCCAGAUGUGCAAAACGAAACACAAAACAAAACUAUACAAACCAACCAAGAAAAGAGAGGGACCCUAAAAAACCUAGUCGGAGGCAAGCCUUCCCUUAUCCUGAAAGAUAAGGAAAAACCACCGAAGAUGACGCUCAGCUUUUCCAAGAGGCUAAGAGGAAGAGGCUUCUAGAGAUAAAAAUUCUGUCUUUAUCUUGAUGUAAAUUACUUAAUACUAAAUGUUGUUUAAUGCUAAUACAU
RNAcentral lists this unclassified non-coding RNA (544 nucleotides) under Hevea brasiliensis (rubber tree). Lineage: Eukaryota; Viridiplantae; Streptophyta; Magnoliopsida; Malpighiales; Euphorbiaceae. The record is from RNAcentral.